This 63-nucleotide transfer RNA is filed under the name Coccidophilus cariba. Its description in RNAcentral is "tRNA-Phe". The record is from RNAcentral. Lineage: Eukaryota; Metazoa; Arthropoda; Insecta; Coleoptera; Coccinellidae.
ACUUAAAUAGCUUAUUUAGAGCAUAAUAUUGAAGAUAUUAAGGAAAUUUUUAAUUUUUAGGUA